UACACUCCUACGGGAGGCAGCAGUGGGGAAUUUUGGACAAUGGGCGAAAGCCUGAUCCAGCAAUGCCGCGUGUGUGAAGAAGGCCUUCGGGUUGUAAAGCACUUUUGUCCGGAAAGAAAUCCUUGGCUCUAAUACAGUCGGGGGAUGACGGUACCGGAAGAAUAAGCACCGGCUAACUACGUGCCAGCAGCCGCGGUAAUACGUAGGGUGCGAGCGUUAAUCGGAAUUACUGGGCGUAAAGCGUGCGCAGGCGGUUUGCUAAGACCGAUGUGAAAUCCCCGGGCUCAACCUGGGAACUGCAUUGGUGACUGGCAGGCUAGAGUAUGGCAGAGGGGGGUAGAAUUCCACGUGUAGCAGUGAAAUGCGUAGAGAUGUGGAGGAAUACCGAUGGCGAAGGCAGCCCCCUGGGCCAAUACUGACGCUCAUGCACGAAAGCGUGGGGAGCAAACAGGAUUAGAAACCCGGGUAGUCCCAUG
RNAcentral lists this ribosomal RNA (476 nucleotides) under uncultured organism. RNAcentral describes it as "partial 16S ribosomal RNA". It matches the Rfam family "Bacterial small subunit ribosomal RNA", at positions 332 to 799 of the family's 1533-position model. The record is from RNAcentral.